Long non-coding RNA from Daphnia magna, 845 nucleotides. RefSeq lists it as uncharacterized. The transcript has 2 exons. NCBI's taxonomy places the organism in Eukaryota, Metazoa, Arthropoda, Branchiopoda, Diplostraca, Daphniidae. The record is from RefSeq and is a predicted model, not a curated record.
AUAGCUAUUUCCUCUCUCCCCUUUGUCCGCAACUUCCGUUUGUUCUUCGAAGGUGAGAUGAAGGGUGGCAUUGGUAAUACCACAAGUCUAGGCAAUGAUGGCGAGUUUUGCACGAGCAGCUUAUACAAUCAAAUUUCUUUUUUACUGACACUUUUGAAAGUCUUUUCAUGCUUGCCCGAUAUAAAAAGGACAUUGCAAAUCUCUUACUCAUCAGUUGCAAACCGUGCAGUUGCAAAUACCAACCUCUAAAGCAAUCUUUAUCAAAAUGCCCUUAUUCUCCAAUGUUAUGUUGUGUUUAAUUCUAUAUUCUUAGUAAAAAAUUCAAUGAGAAGUCAGCUUUAACUCUCGGUAACGAGGGUGACUAGGAAGCUUGAUAAAGUCGUGGACAAUGAAAAAAAACAUGAAAAAGGAUUUGGACAUGUUCUGGCCAGCCCACGACGUGCACAGUACUACUAUAGCUGAUACCGACAAACCGCUAUAUGACCAAAGGCUUGGCUGUUUCGGAAAAUUUUAAAGAAUAUAGCAAUAGAAUAUAAAGAAUUUUGUUUAAUCUUUGAUUUUGUAGGCACUGAUGUCCCCACGCGAUGGUUUUCAGGAUUUAUGGACAUUUCGAAUAUGAUAUAACGCUUUGAUUUCCUUUCAACUUUUCGUUGGCCUGCAGGUUGAUAUAGGAUAAACAAAGAUGUACUAUGGCCUAAAGACAAAAUGAAAAGUAAUGCAGUAGUGAAGACAUAACAAUGAACCACGUUCUUCGUUCGUAGACUCGGAAUAUAAAUUUGAAAUAUUCUUACCGCUGCGGUUCCAAUAAAACAAAAUGCUAAUUUCAAAUGAAAUGCGGAAAAUCU